ACCUACGGGGGGCAGCAGUGAGGAAUAUUGGUCAAUGGGCGCGAGCCUGAACCAGCCAAGUCGCGUGAGGGAUGACGGCCCUACGGGUUGUAAACCUCUUUUGUCGGGGAGCAAAUUCCGCCACGCGUGGCGGAGUCGAGAGUACCCGAAGAAAAAGCAUCGGCUAACUCCGUGCCAGCAGCCGCGGUAAUACGGAGGAUGCGAGCGUUAUCCGGAUUUACUGGGUGUAAAGGGGGCGCAGACGGCAGCGCAAGCCAGGAGUGAAAGCCCGGGGCCCAACCCCGGGACUGCUCUUGGAACUGCGC
This 305-nucleotide ribosomal RNA is filed under the name uncultured bacterium. RNAcentral's name for it is "bacterial SSU rRNA". It matches the Rfam family "Bacterial small subunit ribosomal RNA", at positions 337 to 638 of the family's 1533-position model. The record is from RNAcentral.